This 327-nucleotide unclassified non-coding RNA is filed under the name plant metagenome. Its description in RNAcentral is "partial contains 5.8S ribosomal RNA, internal transcribed spacer 2, and large subunit ribosomal RNA". The stretch from base 1 to 105 matches the Rfam family "5.8S ribosomal RNA", at positions 50 to 154 of the family's 154-position model. The record is from RNAcentral.
GAAAUGCGAUACGUAGUGUGAAUUGCAGAAUUCAGUGAAUCAUCGAAUCUUUGAACGCACAUUGCGCCCUUUGGUAUUCCAAAGGGCAUGCCUGUUCGAGCGUCAUUUGUACCCUCAAGCUUUGCUUGGUGUUGGGCGUCCUUUUGUCUCUCCCCUUGUUGGGGGAGACUCGCCUUAAAACGAUUGGCAGCCGACCUACUGGUUUUCGGAGCGCAGCACAAAUUUGCGCCUUCCAAUCCACGGGGCGGCAUCCAGCAAGCCUUUGUUUUCUAUAACAAAUCCACAUUUUGACCUCGGAUCAGGUAGGGAUACCCGCUGAACUUAAGC